Molecule: ribosomal RNA, 497 nt
Filed under: uncultured bacterium
Lineage: Bacteria
Description: partial 16S ribosomal RNA
Rfam family: Bacterial small subunit ribosomal RNA
Source: RNAcentral
GAUGAACGCUGGCGGCGUGCCUAAUACAUGCAAGUCGAGCGAACAGACGAGGAGCUUGCUCCUCUGACGUUAGCGGCGGACGGGUGAGUAACACGUGGAUAACCUACCUAUAAGACUGGGAUAACUUCGGGAAACCGGAGCUAAUACCGGAUAAUAUAUUGAACCGCAUGGUUCAAUAGUGAAAGACGGUUUUGCUGUCACUUAUAAAUGGAUCCGCCCCGCAUUAGCUAGUUGGUAAGGUAACGGCUUACCAAGGCAACGAUGCGUAGCCGACCUGAGAGGGUGAUCGGCCACACUGGAACUGAGACACGGUCCAGACUCCUACGGGAGGCAGCAGUAGGGAAUCUUCCGCAAUGGGCGAAAGCCUGACUGAGCAACGCCGCGUGAGUGAUGAAGGUCUUCGGAUCGUAAAACUCUGUUAUUAGGGAAGAACAAAUGUGUAAGUAACUAUGCACGUCUUGACGGUACCUAAUCAGAAAGCCACGGCUAACUACGUG